AGAGUUUGAUCCUGGCUCAGGACGAACGCUGGCGGUGUGCUUCACACAUGCAAGUCGAGCGAAUGAAGAAGGUAGCUUGCUACUUUUGGAUUUAGCGGCGGACGGGUGAGUAAUAUAUAGGAAUCUGCCCUAGAGCGGGGAACAACAGACCGAAAGGUUUGCUAAUGCCCCAUAGGUACGCAGUCUUCGGAUUGUUUAUUAAAGGAGUAAUCCACUCUAGGAUGAGCCUGUAUCCGAUUAGCUAGUUGGCGGGGUAAAGGCCCACCAAGGCUACGAUCGGUAGUUGGUCUGAGAGGAUGAUCAGCCACAAUGGGACUGAGACACGGCCAUACUCCUACGGGAGGCAGCAGUGGGGAAUUUUACACAAUGGGGGAAACCCUGAUGUAGCGACACCGCGUGAACGAAGAAGCCUUUUGGGGUGUAAAGUUCUGUCGGCUGGAACGAAAAAAAUGACGGUACCAGCAAAGGAAGCAUCGGCUAACUACGUGCCAGCAGCCGCGGUAAGACGUAGGAUGCAAGCGUUGUCCGGAUUUAUUGGGCGUAAAGAGUUCGUAGGCGGUUAUUUAAGUCUGGUGUUAAAUACUGUGGCCCAACCACAGAACUGCAUUGGAUACUGGAUGACUUGAGUGCGGUAGAGGCGAGUGGAAUUCCCAGUGUAGCGGUGAAAUGCGUAGA
Molecule: ribosomal RNA, 675 nt
Filed under: uncultured bacterium
Lineage: Bacteria
Description: bacterial SSU rRNA
Rfam family: Bacterial small subunit ribosomal RNA
Source: RNAcentral